GACGGAGGGUGCAAGCGUUGUUCGGAAUCAUUGGGCGUAAAGCGCACGUAGGCGGGUUUGUCAGUUGGUUGUGAAAUCCCAGGGCUCAACCUUGGAAUUGCAGUCAAAACUGCAGAUCUUGAAUACUUGAGAGGGUGGGAGAAUUCCUGGUGGAGAAGUGAAAUUCGUAGAGAUCAGGAGGAAUACCGGAGGCGAAGGCGCCUGCCUGGCAAGAUAUUGACGCUGAGGUGCGAAAGCGUGGGUAGCAAACAGG
This 253-nucleotide ribosomal RNA is filed under the name uncultured bacterium. RNAcentral describes it as "partial 16S ribosomal RNA". It matches the Rfam family "Bacterial small subunit ribosomal RNA", at positions 524 to 776 of the family's 1533-position model. The record is from RNAcentral.